Molecule: ribosomal RNA, 2863 nt
Filed under: Salmonella enterica subsp. enterica
Lineage: Bacteria; Pseudomonadati; Pseudomonadota; Gammaproteobacteria; Enterobacterales; Enterobacteriaceae
Description: partial 23S ribosomal RNA
Rfam family: Bacterial large subunit ribosomal RNA
Source: RNAcentral
UCACACUAUCAUUAACUGAAUCCAUAGGUUAAUGAGGCGAACCGGGGGAACUGAAACAUCUAAGUACCCCGAGGAAAAGAAAUCAACCGAGAUUCCCCCAGUAGCGGCGAGCGAACGGGGAGGAGCCCAGAGCCUGAAUCAGCAUGUGUGUUAGUGGAAGCGUCUGGAAAGGCGCGCGAUACAGGGUGACAGCCCCGUACACAAAAGCGCAUGUGCUGUGAGCUCGAUGAGUAGGGCGGGACACGUGGUAUCCUGUCUGAAUAUGGGGGGACCAUCCUCCAAGGCUAAAUACUCCUGACUGACCGAUAGUGAACCAGUACCGUGAGGGAAAGGCGAAAAGAACCCCGGCGAGGGGAGUGAAAAAGAACCUGAAACCGUGUACGUACAAGCAGUGGGAGCACAGGUUUACCUGUGUGACUGCGUACCUUUUGUAUAAUGGGUCAGCGACUUAUAUUCUGUAGCAAGGUUAACCGAAUAGGGGAGCCGGAGGGAAACCGAGUCUUAAUUGGGCGUUAAGUUGCAGGGUAUAGACCCGAAACCCGGUGAUCUAGCCAUGGGCAGGUUGAAGGUUGGGUAACACUAACUGGAGGACCGAACCGACUAAUGUUGAAAAAUUAGCGGAUGACCUGUGGCUGGGGGUGAAAGGCCAAUCAAACCGGGAGAUAGCUGGUUCUCCCCGAAAGCUAUUUAGGUAGCGCCUCGUGAAUUCAUCUCCGGGGGUAGAGCACUGUUUCGGCUAGGGGGCCAUCCCGGCUUACCAACCCGAUGCAAACUGCGAAUACCGGAGAAUGUUAUCACGGGAGACACACGGCGGGUGCUAACGUCCGUCGUGAAGAGGGAAACAACCCAGACCGCCAGCUAAGGUCCCAAAGUCAUGGUUAAGUGGGAAACGAUGUGGGAAGGCCCAGACAGCCAGGAUGUUGGCUUAGAAGCAGCCAUCAUUUAAAGAAAGCGUAAUAGCUCACUGGUCGAGUCGGCCUGCGCGGAAGAUGUAACGGGGCUAAACCAUGCACCGAAGCUGCGGCAGCGAACGUAUCACCCAAGACAACUUUACGGAGUUGACGAUUGACGGAGCGAAGCGACGUCAAAGCGUUCAUUAAAGUCGAGUUGGCUUAGGGAUACGUUCGUUGGGUAGGGGAGCGUUCUGUAAGCCUGUGAAGGUGUGUCGUGAGGCAUGCUGGAGGUAUCAGAAGUGCGAAUGCUGACAUAAGUAACGAUAAAGCGGGUGAAAAGCCCGCUCGCCGGAAGACCAAGGGUUCCUGUCCAACGUUAAUCGGGGCAGGGUGAGUCGACCCCUAAGGCGAGGCCGAAAGGCGUAGUCGAUGGGAAACGGGUUAAUAUUCCCGUACUUGGUGUUACUGCGAAGGGGGGACGGAGAAGGCUAUGUUGGCCGGGCGACGGUUGUCCCGGUUUAAGCGUGUAGGUGUGUGUUCCAGGUAAAUCCGGUUCACUUUAACACUGAGGCGUGACGACGAGGCACUACGGUGCUGAAGCAACAAAUGCCCUGCUUCCAGGAAAAGCCUCUAAGCAUCAGGUAACACGAAAUCGUACCCCAAACCGACACAGGUGGUCAGGUAGAGAAUACCAAGGCGCUUGAGAGAACUCGGGUGAAGGAACUAGGCAAAAUGGUGCCGUAACUUCGGGAGAAGGCACGCUGACACGUAGGUGAAGUGAUUUACUCAUGGAGCUGAAGUCAGUCGAAGAUACCAGCUGGCUGCAACUGUUUAUUAAAAACACAGCACUGUGCAAACACGAAAGUGGACGUAUACGGUGUGACGCCUGCCCGGUGCCGGAAGGUUAAUUGAUGGGGUCAGCGCAAGCGAAGCUCCUGAUCGAAGCCCCGGUAAACGGCGGCCGUAACUAUAACGGUCCUAAGGUAGCGAAAUUCCUUGUCGGGUAAGUUCCGACCUGCACGAAUGGCGUAAUGAUGGCCAGGCUGUCUCCACCCGAGACUCAGUGAAAUUGAACUCGCUGUGAAGAUGCAGUGUACCCGCGGCAAGACGGAAAGACCCCGUGAACCUUUACUAUAGCUUGACACUGAACAUUGAGCCUUGAUGUGUAGGAUAGGUGGGAGGCUUUGAAGUGUGGACGCCAGUCUGCAUGGAGCCGACCUUGAAAUACCACCCUUUAAUGUUUGAUGUUCUAACGUGGACCCGUAAUCCGGGUUGCGGACAGUGUCUGGUGGGUAGUUUGACUGGGGCGGUCUCCUCCUAAAGAGUAACGGAGGAGCACGAAGGUUGGCUAAUCCUGGUCGGACAUCAGGAGGUUAGUGCAAUGGCAUAAGCCAGCUUGACUGCGAGCGUGACGGCGCGAGCAGGUGCGAAAGCAGGUCAUAGUGAUCCGGUGGUUCUGAAUGGAAGGGCCAUCGCUCAACGGAUAAAAGGUACUCCGGGGAUAACAGGCUGAUACCGCCCAAGAGUUCAUAUCGACGGCGGUGUUUGGCACCUCGAUGUCGGCUCAUCACAUCCUGGGGCUGAAGUAGGUCCCAAGGGUAUGGCUGUUCGCCAUUUAAAGUGGUACGCGAGCUGGGUUUAGAACGUCGUGAGACAGUUCGGUCCCUAUCUGCCGUGGGCGCUGGAGAACUGAGGGGGGCUGCUCCUAGUACGAGAGGACCGGAGUGGACGCAUCACUGGUGUUCGGGUUGUCAUGCCAAUGGCACUGCCCGGUAGCUAAAUGCGGAAGAGAUAAGUGCUGAAAGCAUCUAAGCACGAAACUUGCCCCGAGAUGAGUUCUCCCUGAGACUUAGAGUCUCCUGAAGGAACGUUGAAGACGACGACGUUGAUAGGCCGGGUGUGUAAGCGCAGCGAUGCGUUGAGCUAACCGGUACUAAUGAACCGUGAGGCUUAACCUUACAACGCCGAAG